This 465-nucleotide ribosomal RNA is filed under the name uncultured bacterium. Its description in RNAcentral is "partial 16S ribosomal RNA". It matches the Rfam family "Bacterial small subunit ribosomal RNA", at positions 338 to 795 of the family's 1533-position model. The record is from RNAcentral.
CCUACGGGAGGCUGCAGUAGGGAAUAUUGCGCAAUGGGCGAAAGCCUGACGCAGCGACGCCGCGUGCGGGAUGAAGGUCUUCGGAUCGUACACCGCUGUCAGCAGGGAAGAACGGUCACUGUGCUAAUCAGCAGUGAAUUGACGGUACCUGCAAAGGAAGCACCGGCUAACUCCGUGCCAGCAGCCGCGGUAAUACGGAGGGUGCGAGCGUUAAUCGGAAUUACUGGGCGUAAAGCGCUCGUAGGCGGUAUGUCAAGUCAAGGGUGAAAUCCCCGGGCUCAACGUGGGAACUGCCUUUGAAACUGGCAAACUAGAGUGUGUGAGAGGAUAGUGGAAUUCCAGGUGUAGGAGUGAAAUCCGUAGAUAUCUGGAAGAACAUCAGAGGCGAAGGAGACUAACUGGGACAUAACUGACGCUGAGGAGCGAAAGCGUGGGUAGCAAACAGGAUUAGAUACCCCGGUAGUC